GUCUCGGUGGUGUAGUGGUAGAGCACACGUCCCCGGAUAGCAUGAUACGCGGGUUCGGUUCCCUCCUGAGGCC
Molecule: non-coding RNA, 73 nt
Organism: Parelaphostrongylus tenuis
Lineage: Eukaryota; Metazoa; Nematoda; Chromadorea; Rhabditida; Metastrongylidae
Source: the annotation of a GenBank genome assembly